Molecule: ribosomal RNA, 252 nt
Filed under: uncultured bacterium
Lineage: Bacteria
Description: partial 16S ribosomal RNA
Rfam family: Bacterial small subunit ribosomal RNA
Source: RNAcentral
UACGGAGGAUGCGAGCGUUAUCCGGAUUUAUUGGGUUUAAAGGGUGCGUAGGCGGCCUGCCAAGUCAGCGGUAAAAUUGCGGGGCUCAACCCCGUACAGCCGUUGAAACUGCCGGGCUCGAGUGGGCGAGAAGUAUGCGGAAUGCAUGGUGUAGCGGUGAAAUGCAUAGAUAUCACGCAGAACCCCGAUUGCGAAGGCAGCAUACCGGCGCCCUACUGACGCUGAGGCACGAAAGUGCGGGGAUCAAACAGG